UUUUUUUUUUUUUUUUUGAAACAUUAAGAGAUUUGUAUUGAUUGUACAACAGUUUACAUUGGUGACCAAAUGGUCGAUCAAAACUAUAUAAAGGUGUUUAAUGACACGUAGAAUUUAAGUCUAAAGCAUAAUUACUAAUUGAGUAAAUCUUAUAUACAUUGACAGUACAUACACUAUCACCGUUAGAUCCACGACACCUAUGCAAAAAUUUGAAUUUCAAAUUCAAAUUUUGCAUAAUUAUCUUUCAUCCAACAUUGAUAGUGUAUACACUGUCAGUAUAGGAAAUAUUAAUCCUUACUAAUUUUAUGGCUAAUUAUAUUUCUAUCUUCUCUAACUAAACAGAAAGACGACAUUUGAAACAACACUUUCAAACUUUUGAUGUCUUCCACCACUCGUAGCCAACCUACUGUGCUAGUUCCAAAAGUUCCUUGUUUCUGGAUUUGAAUGUUAAUUUUCCUCCACUGCUGCUUUGCACAUUGCCAGUUUGGCAGCAACCGCAUCAUCUACGCUCUUGCAUCCAGAAGUCCUUUCUUUCAAUGCCUAGCAAUUUUUCCAUUGUUGUAACUCCUAUCCCCAUGAAGAGAGAAGAGAGGGAGGGGGCAGAGGGGGGGGGGGGGUAUCUUUGCUGACCUUGAGUUGCAAUCCUUAAUAUUAUGGUUCCUUCUGGGUCCGGUUCCUACCGGUGCCAUUCCUGAGGUAAUGCUGUUUCAGUUGUGCUCAAUCUAUUUCUUUGUCAUUGCUUCCUCUUGUUCCAGCCAUUCUCUUUGAGCUUUUCGGAUGAUUCUUAAUGGCUGGUGGGAGUGCUGAUCACCAAACUCCCUCCUAUUUUUAUUCUUCCAUAUUUGCCACAAAAUAUUUGCAGUUAGACCAAUGCGAUCUUUGCUGCCUGUCUGCUCCUUGCUUCAGUACUUCCUCAUCUAGGGACUUACUUCGUCCGUCUCUUAUUCUUGAUUUUGGUAAUAAUUUUUUUUUAUUUUUGGGAUUUUUUUGGACCAUUAAAUUUAUAGAAAAUUCAAUUAGUGUUCAUGUUAUCAACCAUGUCCAAAAAAUAGAAUUGAAAAAACAACAGGAUAAGCUAUUGUGACGAACUAAAAUACAUGUGAAGUACAAGAAAGUCAAUACAUGGUAACCCUUUGAAUACAGUUGGACCACCACAGCGUUCUAAGUUUGUCAACAAAGAUUUGCAAAGUCUCUCUUUUGAAAAUUACAAAAAUACGAAAAUAUUAAAAGCAUCUUCUGUUACUGGAGAAUGGAAACCAUAGAGCCAGUCAAAUACAAGUCAAGUCCAUAAAUUUGCAUCUUGAACUAUACUGCUGAGGACUGUGAGCUCAAAGCCAUAUGAAGCACUAGAAUUAAAUGCCGCAGAAUAGGUAAAGAUGCAUGUUUUCUGCAGUAACUAUUGUACGUGUUAUUCAGAUCCAUUGUGCUUAGCACAUGCACAAGACAGUAUUGAGAGAUUCUGGACGUAUAUAUGUACAUGCAUGCUUUACUUUGAGAAUUUUAAGGCUUAAAUUACAAUUCCAUAUACACAUAAAUGACAAUGAAUUUGGGUUUCAGGUAAGCUAUAAAU
This 1570-nucleotide long non-coding RNA is filed under the name Coffea arabica (coffee). RNAcentral describes it as "long non-coding RNA (CARA_LNC001411)". Lineage: Eukaryota; Viridiplantae; Streptophyta; Magnoliopsida; Gentianales; Rubiaceae. The record is from RNAcentral.